Molecule: ribosomal RNA, 260 nt
Filed under: Enterobacter hormaechei
Lineage: Bacteria; Pseudomonadati; Pseudomonadota; Gammaproteobacteria; Enterobacterales; Enterobacteriaceae
Also listed under: 2 other names
Description: partial 23S ribosomal RNA
Rfam family: Bacterial large subunit ribosomal RNA
Source: RNAcentral
AAUCAACCGAGAUUCCCCCAGUAGCGGCGAGCGAACGGGGAGCAGCCCGGAGUCUGAAUCAGCUUGUGUGUUAGUGGAACGGUCUGGAAAGUCCGACGGUACAGGGUGAUAGUCCCGUACACGAAAACACACUUGCUGUGAACUCGAAGAGUAGGGCGGGACACGUGGUAUCCUGUCUGAAUAUGGGGGGACCAUCCUCCAAGGCUAAAUACUCCUGACUGACCGAUAGUGAACCAGUACCGUGAGGGAAAGGCGAAAAG